UUUUAGGAUAUUUAUUUAUAAAAAAUUAUAAUCUCAUAAUAAUCUCAUAUUCAAGAUAAUAUUUUCACCCUCUAAAAUUGUGCCAUGUGUCUCAUGUUAGAUAAGAUUUUCAUAUAUUUAUUAAAAAAAUUAUAAUCUCAUAUUUCAGAUAAGAUUUUCACCCUCUAAAAUUGCGCCACGUGUCAUCUUUAUCUUCUAAUCCCUCUAUAAAACUACACCCUCAACUCAUACCUUUCACACCAUAUCUUCUCUAUUCUUUCAUUUCUCAUAUUUUACAAAAUACAUUCUACUCUCAAUAUCUAACAUGAGGAGGGUGUUGGAGAGGCAAGAGCGAGAAGAGGAAGAAAUCAGGUGCAGACGUGCUGAAGAAGAUCGUGAGGCCAAUGAAGGGGAGGAAGAAAUGAUUGUAGCGGUGUGUAUGCUCAAUGAAUCAAGG
Molecule: long non-coding RNA, 436 nt
Filed under: Prunus persica (peach)
Lineage: Eukaryota; Viridiplantae; Streptophyta; Magnoliopsida; Rosales; Rosaceae
Description: long non-coding RNA (PPER_LNC006735)
Source: RNAcentral